This 2339-nucleotide ribosomal RNA is filed under the name human gut metagenome. Its description in RNAcentral is "bacterial LSU rRNA". It matches the Rfam family "Bacterial large subunit ribosomal RNA", at positions 14 to 2386 of the family's 2925-position model. The record is from RNAcentral.
AGGGCGUUGGGUGAAUGCCUUGGCACUAUAUGGCGAAGAAGGACGUGACUACCUGCGAAAAGCUGCGACGAGCUGGAAGUGAGCAAAGACUCGCAGAUAUCCGAAUGGGGGAACCCACUGCAAGUAACGAUGCAGUAUCCACUGAUGAAACAAAUAGUCAGUGAGAAGGCAACCUAGGGAAGUGAAACAUCUAAGUACCUAGAGGAAAAGAAAGAGAAAUCGAUUCUCCAAGUAGCGGCGAGCGAACGGGGAGGAGCCCAAACCGUAGAAAUACGGGGUUUAGGACCUCAAGAAGUGAAUGCGUUGCUGUAGACGAAUCAUUUGAAAGAUGAACCAAAGAUGGUGAAAGUCCAGUAGUCGAAACGGCAGAAUGCAGCGAGAGGGAUCCAGAGUACGGCGAGACACGAGGAAUCUAGUCGGAAGAUACGCAGACCACUGCGAAAGGCUAAAUACAAGAUAGUGACCGAUAGUGAACCAGUACCGUGAGGGAAAGGUGAAAAGAACCCCGGGAGGGGAGUGAAAAGAAUCUGAAACCUGAUGCCUACAAGAAGUCAGAGGGCGUUAAAGCCUGAUGGCGUGCCUAUUGAAGAAGGAACCGGCGAGUUAUGCUAUCGUGCGAGGUUAAGUAGGAGAUACGGAGCCGAAGCGAAAGCGAGUCUUAAUAGGGCGGAAAGUACGAUAGGAUAGACCCGAAACCAGACGAUCUAGCCAUGAUCAGGUUGAAGCGAUGGUAACACAUCGUGGAGGACCGAACCAACUUUCGUUGAAACGACAGUGGAUGAAUUGUGGCUAGGGGUGAAAUUCCAAUCGAGUUUGGAAAUAGCUGGUUCUCCCCGAAAUAGCUUUAGGGCUAGCCUUGUGGGAUGACCUAUGGAGGUAGAGCACUGAAUGACUGAGGGCCCCAUCCAGGGGUACCGAUUUCAAUCAAACUCCGAAUGCCAUAGGGGGAGGAACACAGGAGUCAGACUGUGGGGGAUAAGCUCCAUGGUCAAGAGGGAAACAGCCCAGACCAACAGAUAAGGUCCCAAAAUACAUGCUAAGUGUAAAAGGGAGUGAUAUUGCGCAGACAACUAGGAGGUUAGCUCAGAAGCAGCUAUCCUUAAAAGAGUGCGUAACAGCUCACUAGUCGAGUGACAUUGCACCGAAGAUUUACCGGGGCUAAGCAUGAUACCGAAGCAUUGGACUCUGAGGAGUGGUAGGGGAGCGUUGUAGGAGCGGCGAAGUCAUACCGAAAGGAAUGGUGGAGCGACUACAAGAGAGAAUGCCGGUGUGAGUAACGAAUAGAGGUGAGAAUCCUCUACACCGAUUGACAAAGGAUUCCUGGGGAAAGGUUCGUCCGCCCAGGGUAAGUCGGGGCCUAAGGCGAGGCCGAGAGGCGUAGUCGAUGGAAAACUGGUUGAAAUUCAGUACCGAUUAUAGGGAGAGGGAGAGACGGAGAUGGUAAGUUGUGCCGGUUAAUGGAUUCCGGUCGAAACGGAGCAGCUGGUAGGGAAGGCAAAUCCACCUACGGGAAGCAGGCCGUGAUAGGGAGCGAAAGGGAAACCAAGUAGUGCAGACAACGUAGACAGCUUCCAAGAAAAUCUUCUAUCAAAAACUUAUAAUUGCCCGUACCGAGAACGAACACACGUGGUCAAGGAGAGAAUCCUAAGGUGAGCGAGACAACUGUUGCUAAGGAACUCUGCAAAAUCACCCCGUAAGUUAGCAAGAAGGGGAGCUCGAGAGAGCCGCAGUGAAAAGGCCUAGGCGACUGUUUAACUAAAACACAGCUCUAUGCUAAGCCGAAAGGCGAUGUAUAUGGGGUGACGCCUGCCCAGUGCUGGAAGGUUAAGGGGAAAUGUUAGUGAGCGAUUGCGAAGCAUAGAACCGAAGCCCCAGUGAACGGCGGCCGUAACUAUAACGGUCCUAAGGUAGCGAAAUUCCUCGUCAGGUAAAUUCUGACGCGCACGAAUGGCGUAACGAUCUAGGCGCUGUCUCAGCAACAGGCUCGGUGAAAUCUAACUACCUGUGAAGAUGCAGGUUACCCGCGACUAGACGGAAAGACCCCAUGGAGCUUUACUAUAACUUGAUAUUGGGAUGUUGCUAUUGAUGUACAGGAUAGGUGGGAGACGAAGAAGUGAAGGCGUCAGCCUUGAUGGAGUCAACGUUGGGAUACCACUCUUCAAUAGUGACGUUUCUAACCCAGGCCGUGAAACCGGUCACAGGGACAGUGUCAGGCGGGUAGUUUGACUGGGGCGGUCGCCUCCUAAAGAGUAACGGAGGCGCCCAAAGGUACCCUCAGUAUGGAUGGAAAUCAUACAAUGAGUGCAAAGGCAAAAGGGUGCUUGACUGUGAGACAAACA